GCAGGAGAAAAAGUUAAGUUUUUCCUGCCCAUCGCCCAAUGGCUCAAACGCAUCGCUCUCUCGGCAAAACCGAAAGGAGGAGCAACUUGCCAUUUGGAUAUAUUGAAGCUGUGUUUGUGCCCUCACUCAUGGUCCAGACUUUUUUCAAAAAGGACAUGGAGUUUGUCUGCAGCGAGCGUUUUGGUAGAAACUGCGCCUCCCAUUCAUUAUAAUGGUAAAUGACCACAGACAAGUGCGCACACCAUCUUUGGACCUUGAGUGUGACUCGAUCGGGAGGGGGAGGGGGUCGCGCUGGGGGCAGCACGACACGGCUCGGGCCCGCCAGUGCCCCAGCGGGGCCCUAGUUCGUUAUUAUUUUUCCUCCGCUUCAAACUGGAAAAUGGCCCACUUCCCACUGGCGAAAACUCAGGACAUUUGGCAGGACGACCGGGCCUGGUGAAAAAUUCGAUAUUCUGAAGUCGCCCAAACAAUAAAAUGCAAAAUGGCUCCAUAGCGCCCCCUAAGGUGAAAAUUCACAUGACGGCUGUACGCUUUGUCAUAUUGACACAAAAAUUGACACACACAUGUAUCUCAAUAAGAUCUACAAAAAAGUCAGUGCGGGCGUAUCUGUCAAAUUUACGGUUAAUGGGUUAUUUUGCAUUUUUUGCAGAUCUGCACACAUUGGAAUUUCGCUAACUCCUCCGAAGGCUUUCGUUCGACCGGCACCACAUUUGCGCAGGCCAAUCUACCCCCCAUGGCCAUUAAAAGUUGUACAAAUCAUGACGCUGCACCCCACGGUUUACGUUCUAGGGGGCGCCAAAGAUAACCCAAAAAUCCACAUUCUUAAAAGUCUUAUAAAUUUUUACUUUUGUCCUCACUGGCCUCCAAGUUUUCUAGGAUGAUGCAAUGUCCAGCCAUCAACACAUUUGUGAAGGAAUUUUUACUCGCCAAAAGAGCGCCCCCCAUGGCAGGAGAAAAAAGUCCAUUUUUUCUUGUCCCCUAAGGCGAAUAUACACAUUGUUGAGUGUCACGCCUGUACGCUUUGUCAUAUUGACACAAAAAUUAACACACACAUGUAUCUCAAUAAGAUCUACGAAAAAGUCAAUGUGCGCGUAUCUGUAAAAUGUACAGUUAAAGGGCUAUUUCGCAUUUUUUGCCGAUUCGCACACAUUGGAAUGUGGCUAACUCCUCCUAAAGCUUUCGUCCCAUCGGCACCAAAUUUGCUCAGGCCAAUCUACACCCCAUGGCCAUUCAAAGUUGUACAGAUCAUGACGCUGCAUCCCACGGUUUACGUUCUAGGGGGCGCCAAAGAUGACCCAAAUAUCCACAUUUUUAAAAGUCUUAUAACUUUAUUUUUGUCCUCACUGGCCUCCAAGUUUUCUAGGAUGAUGCAAUGUCCAGCCAUCAACACAUUUUUGAAGGAAUUUUUACUCCCCAAAAGAGCGCCCCCCCAUGGCAGGAGAAAAAAGUCAAUUUUUUCUUGUCCCGUAAGGUGAAAAUUCACAUUGUUGAGUGUGACACCUGUACGCUUUGUCAUAUUGACACAAAAUUUGACAAUCACGUGUAUCUCAAUAAGAUCUACGAAAAAGUCAAUGGGUGCGUAUCUGUCAAAUGUACGGUUAGAGGGCUAUUUUGCAUUUUUUGCCGAUUGGCACACAUUGGAAUGUGGCUAACUCCUCCUAAGGCUUUCGUUCCACCGGCACCACAUUUGCUCAGGCCAAUCUACACCCCAUGGCCAUUCAAAGUUGUAAAAAUCAGGACGCUGCACCCCACGGUUUAUGUUCUAGGGGGCGCCAAAGAUGACCAAAAAAUCCACAUUCUUAAAAGAAUCCACAUUCUCCCCCCCCAUGGCACGAGAAAAAGUCAAGUUUUUCCUGCCCAUCGCUCAAUGGCUCAAUCGCAUCGCUCUCCAGGCAACACCGUAAGGAGGAGCAACCUGCCAUUUUGAUAUAUCCCAGCUGUGUUUGUGCCCUCACUCAUGGUCCAGACUUUUUUCAAAUAGGACAUGAAGUUUGUCUGCAGCGAGUGUUUUGGUAGAAACUGCGCCUCCCAUUCAUUAUAAUGGGAAAUGACCACAGACAAGUGCGCACACCAUCUUUGGACCUUGAGUGUGACGCGAUCGGGAGGGGGAGGCGGUCACGCUGGGGGCGGCACGACGCGGCUCGGGCCCGACAGUGCCCCAGCGGGGCCCUAGUACUUUUUUUUCUUCUUUGGUAGGUGAUCCUUGAGACGACACAAAAUCAGUUGGCUGGUCUAGGUCAAACAGAUAUGCAGGUCAAUAGUAUAAAGGUAAACUGCACUUUGAAAUUAAAAGGAUUUUCUCUGAAGACCAGGUUUAUUUUACCUAUAUGUAAAUAAUAAAAACCUGCAUUUGUAUUAUGGCAGAAUUAAAAUGCUAUAAUUACAUUUUGUCAACAGUGUAAAAAACAUCAACUGGUGUUCGCAAACGUUUCCACAUUGGAAAAAUGCGUACAGUGUGUUGGACCAGUGUCCUCUUUAAGGUGGACUGGCUAUCAGUGUCGAGGUGAGCUAUUUGGUGAAGUCUCAUACAUUGUUUCAAAAGCUAAUUAUUAUACAUGUCGAGGGAAAAAAUGAAAUUCCAGGGGCUGUUGGAUGAUGUUUUCUGCCUGCAGUAUACAGUAUGUUGCAAGAAAAAGAAGAAAAUAGAAUUACGAUAGAGAGAGAGCAAAAAUUUAGUUAUAUAUGUGAAUAAAAGGGCAAUCCUAUUUUCUCUUAAUAAGGUACUUAAAUUUAUAUUUUGUUUUCAAAUCCAAAUUUUCUUUCACUUUAACCUCACUUGCUUCAGCUCUCUUACAGCAGCUCUAAAACCAUCACAAACCAGAGCAAACAGGCAAAGAGAUACAUUUCACAUUAAACUUAACAAAUAAACAAUUAUUAUAUAUGAAAAGAUGAUAUGAUGCAUACUUUUUCAUUUAAGUUCUUUUUCUUUUCAUUCCUUUCAGUCAUUCUGGCAUCUGUUUAUUCACAUCAGGGCUGCAGCUGAAAUGCUGUUUAAUAUAAAAAUAAAAAUUAAUAGGAAAUGUUGUAGUCAGAGUGAUCUAGCUGCUCGAAUGAUAGAGAGGGAUAAAAUAACACUUGUUUGGUGCUUUUGCAGUAGGUAUUUUUUUGUUUUGUGACAGUUCUAAAAGUUUUAAAAAGCAGGUGAUCUGCUGGCAUGAAACUUGGCCAUAAAUGUUGCCAACCUUGCCCUUUAUAGGUAGAUAGAUAGAUAGAUAGAUAGAUGUACUUUAUUAAUCCCGAAGGAAAUUCAAGAGUGGUCAACUGC
This 3265-nucleotide long non-coding RNA is filed under the name Xyrichtys novacula (pearly razorfish). Lineage: Eukaryota; Metazoa; Chordata; Actinopteri; Labriformes; Labridae. The record is from RNAcentral.